Molecule: ribosomal RNA, 416 nt
Filed under: uncultured bacterium
Lineage: Bacteria
Description: bacterial SSU rRNA
Rfam family: Bacterial small subunit ribosomal RNA
Source: RNAcentral
AUAUUGGUCAAUGGACGCAAGUCUGAACCAGCCAUGCCGCGUGGAGGAUGAAGGUCCUCUGGAUUGUAAACUUCUUUUAUCUGGGACGAAACACUUCUUUUCUAAGAGGCCUGACGGUACCAGAUGAAUAAGCACCGGCUAACUCCGUGCCAGCAGCCGCGGUAAUACGUAGGCAGCAAGCGAUGUUCGGGGUUACUGGGCGUAAAGAGUGCGUAGGCGGUUUUCUAAGUUCGGUGUGAAAUCUCCCGGCUUAACGGGGAGGGUGCGCCGAAGACUGGGAAGCUGGAGUGUGGGAAAGGCAGGCGGAAUUCCUGGUGUAGCGGUGAAAUGCGUAGAUAUCAGGAGGAACACCGGCGGUGUAGACGGCUUGCUAGACCAUAACUGACGCUGAGGCACGAAAGCGUGGGUAGCAAACA